Molecule: ribosomal RNA, 549 nt
Filed under: Hansenula anomala
Lineage: Eukaryota; Fungi; Ascomycota; Saccharomycetes; Phaffomycetales; Wickerhamomycetaceae
Also listed under: 1 other name
Description: eukaryotic LSU rRNA
Rfam family: Eukaryotic large subunit ribosomal RNA
Source: RNAcentral
AGUGAGCGGCAAAAGCUCAAAUUUGAAAUCUAGCACCUUCGGUGUUCGAGUUGUAAUUUGAAGAUGGUAACCUUGGGUUUGGCUCUUGUCUAUGUUCCUUGGAACAGGACGUCAUAGAGGGUGAGAAUCCCGUCUGAUGAGAUGCCCAUUCCUAUGUAAGGUGCUAUCGAAGAGUCGAGUUGUUUGGGAAUGCAGCUCUAAGUGGGUGGUAAAUUCCAUCUAAAGCUAAAUAUUGGCGAGAGACCGAUAGCGAACAAGUACAGUGAUGGAAAGAUGAAAAGAACUUUGAAAAGAGAGUGAAAAAGUACGUGAAAUUGUUGAAAGGGAAGGGCAUUAGAUCAGACUUGGUGUUUUACGAUUAUCUUCUCUUCUUGAGUUGUGCACUCGUAUUUCACUGGGCCAGCAUCGAUUCGGAUGGCAAGAUAAUGGCAGUUGAAUGUGGCUUCACUUCGGUGGAGUGUUAUAGCUUCUGCUGAUAUUGCCUGUCUGGAUCGAGGGCUGCGUCUUUUGACUAGGAUGCUGGCGUAAUGAUCUAAUGCCGCCCGUCUU